UUAAAUGGAGGUCCAGGAACAGUAGGAAGAGCAAGGAUACCAAAUUCCUACAAAAGCAUUAGGUAAAGGAAUAAAGAAAGGCAUAAUUGAACAGAAGUGAGAUCUUGAGCAUCAAUUUCACAGCAGCAGGUAGAGUCCAGUU
Long non-coding RNA from Telopea speciosissima, 142 nucleotides. RefSeq lists it as uncharacterized. The record is from RefSeq and is a predicted model, not a curated record. NCBI's taxonomy places the organism in Eukaryota, Viridiplantae, Streptophyta, Magnoliopsida, Proteales, Proteaceae. The transcript has 2 exons.